Molecule: long non-coding RNA, 473 nt
Organism: Venturia canescens
Lineage: Eukaryota; Metazoa; Arthropoda; Insecta; Hymenoptera; Ichneumonidae
Exons: 3
Source: RefSeq, a predicted model, not a curated record
GUAGUCCGACGUCGGGAAGCUUCGACCGGAGAAUCGUCAAUGGCCAUGAAGCCAGAGAAGGCGAGCUGCCGUACCAAAUUCUCCGGGCAACAUGAAAAUCGUCGCUGGCACAAUCGACUUGGAAAAGCCAGCAUCGAUGCAUCGCGUUGUCAAAAUAAUUAUCCACGCUGAAUAUCGUCGAAGCGAUUCGUGGUAGUGAAUGACAUUGCUCUUGUCAAAGUGAGCCCAGAAUUCAUUUUUUCAAGGACAAUUUCCAACGUAGUUCUGCCUCAGCAAAAUGUCCAAGUAUCCGAUUACUCGGUCGCCACUGUUUCCGGAUGGGGGCGUCUUUGGGAAGGUGGUGAAUUUCCGACAAAACUUCAACGUGCACACAUCUUGAUCGUACCUCAAAUAGACUGUUGGAGAAUUUAUUAUCCUACGAACAAAAUUUACCCAACAAAUAUCUGCGCUUGUGACCCCAAUGUCGAAACUGG